Molecule: long non-coding RNA, 759 nt
Organism: Betta splendens (Siamese fighting fish)
Lineage: Eukaryota; Metazoa; Chordata; Actinopteri; Anabantiformes; Osphronemidae
Exons: 3
Source: RefSeq, a predicted model, not a curated record
UAAACUGAACCGAAGCUCCCUCGGCCCAGACCCUGCACGAUGCUGUAUCGCUUAGCAACCAGAAGCUGUCCGGACUCAGCCUCCUGAUACCUGGGCAUCCUGUCUGCUCACCUGUGGACAGAGACGUUCAGGCUCCGCUCCGCAUGAACAACUUCCGUGUUUGACCACGUUUCCAUGGAGACCGAGGACACACCCCUGAGCUCCACAGUGAACUGCUGAAGAAGACGAAAGUAAAGGCGGGAAGUAGCAUUUAGAGAAGUGUAUUAUUGUUUUAUCAUUAUUGUUGUCAUCGAACUAACGCGGCUUUGAACGUUCAUUGCUGUUCAUUAUUUCUAUUGUAACCGAGGCGAUCCAGCAGGUGGCGCUCUGCCAUCGCUCCAGAACCUCCUGAGUAAACACCAAUGGAACUAAUCACAACAGUCAAUUUAUUAAUUCUACUAAUUAUCUAAUAAUCUAAGGGGAGGAUUCCCCUUUGUUGUUAAAGCACAACGUUACCAAACAACAGUGAAAUUGUGUAUUAUCUACAAACACCAGCUUGGUUCUGUGCAAUCGUGCUGACCCUUCAGUCACCUGACGUGGUUCUGAAAUGUUGGGUCAUUGCUUAUCAGCCACAGACGAUGAAGCCUGCUCCGGGUCACAAUCAUUUCCAUCAGAACCAGCUCCAUGCUGCAGAUCCACGGAACACAAACCCAUGGGUUUGCAUGGGUUCCUGUUGGAGUCCAACUGUGAAAACUGUAACCAGCUCCGCGUUCAGCUGAU